RNAcentral lists this ribosomal RNA (267 nucleotides) under uncultured bacterium. RNAcentral describes it as "partial 16S ribosomal RNA". It matches the Rfam family "Bacterial small subunit ribosomal RNA", at positions 89 to 353 of the family's 1533-position model. The record is from RNAcentral.
GAGUUAGUGGCGGACGGGUGAGUAACGCGUGGGUAACCUGCCUUGUACUGGGGGACGAACAGUUGGAAACGACUGCUAAUACCGCAUAAGCGCACAGCUUCGCAUGAAGCAGUGUGAAAAACUCCGGUGGUACAAGAUGGACCCGCGUCUGAUUAGCUAGUUGGUGGGGUAACGGCCUACCAAGGCGACGAUUAGUAGCCGGCCUGAGAGGGUGAACGGCCACAUUGGGACUGAGACACGGCCCAAACUCCUACGGGAGGCAGCAUG